UUCCUCCUCUCCCAUCCACGCCGCCGCCAACCCUCUUCCCUCUUCCCUUCUCUCUUUUCCCCUUUUCUCUGUGAGCAAGCAACGAAGAAAACCUCACAGUACCGCACCUACCUCACCAUGGCGCCGCCACUGCAGACCAUCCCCUGCCGUUCCGAGGGCACCGGCGGAUGCGCCUCGUCGUCCUCUUCGUCUGGGUACAAGGAAUUGCUUCGGGAGGCCCUCAAUCGAGCACACGGUCGCCGAUUCCCCGCGAAGGCAGCCGCGCUCCGGCGAGAAUUCCGGCCGCCUCCAACCUCCACCGACCCUUUCGAGCACGUACACACAUUCCAGGAGCUCGACGCCGGUGAUGCUCCGGCGACCCCCUGGACUCCGCGCCGCCACCAUUGGCCUCCCCACAUUCAGCCGCAUCCCCGACGCCAGUUUCCCCGUCCUCGUUCGCCCUGAAUCGACGGAUUGAUGUCGGACCUGAUCUCCCUCCCUCCAUGGCUGCAACCCUCCAAGCUCGUCCCAGUAUUUGUUGGGUCAAGUUGCUGCACGCCUUUCCCUUGACAUGAUCUGAACUGCAGCGCAGUGAUACGUUGAUGGGCUUCAAACCCAGAUCCAUCUGGCCUUCUUCUCUCCGGUGCGGAUCAGAUCCAGCCCACCAGCACCCUGUCGCUCGCGCGGCCCGAAGCCAACCAUCGCUGCUGGUUUCCCCCCUUCUCUGUUUUAUUAUUUUUGAUUUGCAAAUCUUGUAAAAUCAAUAUCUCUUGAACCAUAAUUCGAAAUAAAACAUGUUAUAUAUGAAAAUUUAUCAGAAAAACAUGAGGAACAUGAAUAUGCCAUCCAUAUGCCUGUUUGCAUCUCGCAUCAUAUCACGCGUUGACAGUUUCGCAUUUCCACCUCACAUAUAUGCGGAGUAUUUCGGGAUUCCAAUUAGGUUUCCCCGCUCCGUUUAAUUUUGAAGUAGCCCACCCUUGCCAUGGCUAUGCCAUGCUAAUCAACAUUUAAUUUGUCGGUAGAGAUGCAACUCCAACCUAACUUGUUUGCCGGGGUUCCGACUCCGAUUAAAUUGGAUAAGUUGCAUUGCACCAUAUCUGCCAUGUCAUGCAUAUCAUCUUGAUCAUGCUGGAUCUUCUUUAUCCGUAGUAGUAAGACUUGCAUGCGUUGUGUGUUCCAGCAUUUGCUUCUUCCCGGAUAGGAUCACGAAGUGGUGAUGUGAGAUAUGACGAGUCCUCCGACAAGUUCUUCUGCAGCUUUUCACAGGCGAGCCCACCCCUUCACCUAUUUUACUUUUACAUGCUCUUUUGAUCUAUUGCUAUCCUUAUGUUGCGAUUCUGUUGUGUCACGUGUCCUAACCACCUGUUACCUAUAUGUCCGAGAUACACCUCCUCGCCCUACCUAUUGUUUGUUGUUUGCCAGCUUUGCGAGUCGUAGGCGAGUUUAGGGUCUUGUUGAUAUCU
Lolium perenne is the source of this 1442-nucleotide non-coding RNA. Lineage: Eukaryota; Viridiplantae; Streptophyta; Magnoliopsida; Poales; Poaceae. The record is from RefSeq and is a predicted model, not a curated record.